AGAGUUUGAUCCUGGCUCAGAUUGAACGCUGGCGGCAUGCUUUACACAUGCAAGUCGAACGGCAGCACGGGUGCUUGCACCUGGUGGCGAGUGGCGAACGGGUGAGUAAUGCACCGGAACGUACCCAGUAAUGGGGGAUAACACAUCGAAAGAUGUGCUAAUACCGCAUACGCCCUGAGGGGGAAAGCGGGGGAUCGUAAGACCUCGCGUUAUUGGAGCGGCCGAUGCCGGAUUAGCUAGUUGGUGAGGUAAGAGCUCACCAAGGCGACGAUCCGUAGCUGGUCUGAGAGGACGACCAGCCACACUGGGACUGAGACACGGCCCAGACUCCUACGAGAGGCAGCAGUGGGGAAUUUUGGACAAUGGGCGCAAGCCUGAUCCAGCCAUGCCGCGUGAGUGAAGAAGGCCUUCGGGUUGUAAAGCUCUUUCGCAAGGAAAGAAAACUUAUCU
This 450-nucleotide ribosomal RNA is filed under the name uncultured bacterium. Its description in RNAcentral is "bacterial SSU rRNA". It matches the Rfam family "Bacterial small subunit ribosomal RNA", at positions 8 to 458 of the family's 1533-position model. The record is from RNAcentral.